UUUUUCUUGGUUUAACAUAAUUUAUGUUAUCAGUAUAUGAUGGACAAAAUGCCUCUAUAUAUGUGUUCACAUGAUAAACACCUUACCCGAGACUUACCUUUUAAAUGUCGUCUCUGAUUAUUCGCCAACCGUCGCUUAAACUCUCUGCUUGAUCUUUAUCUGUGAUACCUAUUAUGGGAUGGUUCUGUAGUUACCCUCUUUGUGCCUAUGGUCUGCUAUGAUGUGUAGCAAAGAUGGCGAAUCCAAUAUGACUAUGUGAUAUGAUGUAAUGGAUGAGGAAUGAAUGUUUUCCGAACAUAUGGUAUUUGUGAUUCUGAUUGCGGGAAAGAGUGUGUAUGGAAUAUGAGGAAUAGCUUAUGUGUAUAGUAUGGAAAUGAAAAAAGGAAUUAGUGAUGGAAGAAAUGGAUAGAUGUGUGUAUGUAUUCGAAUGAUGGAGGAUAAAAACUUUUUGGAUAGAAGCUAACUUUUCUUUUCUAUGUUCUGUGUUGGCUGCUUCUUAUAGCUGAUUGGAGUUAUUGCCAAAAUCACUUCAAUUGCUCAAUAUAAUAACAUUGAUUUUCACCAACGAAACUGCCCGUGACUGCUGUCAUUUUACUCUGAUUAUUCUCACUCAUUAAUUAAUAUUCAUGAUUGUGUUUUAAUAAGGAGAAACUGUUUAACUGUGAAUCAUGAUAACCAUUAUGAGUUGCCAAUUAUCCUUAAGGCUAACUCAAAUCAUAAAUGCUUGCAGGAAAUCAGUUUUGGAAAAUCCCUUGAGGGAUAUUGUUUAAGGAGGCAAAUAGUCCUAUCCCUCUCACAUAUGUUGAGCAAGAAUUCUAGCAUAAAUCAGCUGUGUAGAAGAGUAUUUGUUACCUCUGUGAGGAGUCUUAGGCAGAUACUUGGCGGAGUUUAAGCUUCUUCAACCUUUCCAUAUUUUGUUCCCAGUCCAAUUUUAUUUCAUGGACAUUGUACACUU
Molecule: non-coding RNA, 955 nt
Organism: Lupinus albus (white lupine)
Lineage: Eukaryota; Viridiplantae; Streptophyta; Magnoliopsida; Fabales; Fabaceae
Source: the annotation of a GenBank genome assembly